AUUCUUUAUAUGUAUUAUGAUGGAUUUUAGAUAUGCUCACUUGAUAUCAUUUUUUCUCUUGACUCUAAAACAGGUAUGUACAAGCUAUUUAAGAGGGCCAAGAAGGCGGAAUAGCCUCGCUUAUACAGUUUCUGACUGCUAACAGUGCCAUCAUCAAUGAGCUUCACUCUAAAGUCUGUUCAUGGGAGGGUUGGGCUUCCUUCAAUGCUAGGGAUGAAAUUGGAGAAUAAACAAGGGGUUGACAUGCUUGUGAAGUUCUAUUAGGUAUGCUUCUCUCUCUCCCGAAAUCUUUCGGUUCCUGAAGCACAAACCCUGUCAGUUUGUCCAUACGUAGAUUUUUUUCCUUCUUGUUGGUGCACUAUUCUCGGGUUUUUAGACCAUUUGAGAGGGCCAAGAAGGCGGAAUAGCCUCGCUUAUACAGUUUCUGACUGCUAACAGUGCCAUCAUCAAUGAGCUUCACUCUAAAGUCUGUUCAUGGGAGGGUUGGGCUUCCUUCAAUGCUAGGGCUGAAAUUGGAGAAUAAUUAAACAAGGGGUUGACAUGCUUGUGAAGUUCUAUUAGGUAUGCUUCUCUGUCUCCCCAAAUCUUUCGGUUCCUGAAGCACAAACCCUGUCAGUUUGUCCAUAUGUAGAUUUUUUCCCUUCUUGUUGGUGCACUAUUCUCGGGUUUUUUGUGUGUUUCUUUCUUGCGGCCAGCUUGACCAUUUACUCUGGAAGGAGUUAUUCAACUAAAAAAGAGCGAACAAGUUGAGAUUCUUUUGUCUUGUCUAUAUCGUUCCUACAAUGUUGUUUGGGUUGAUUUUCUUGCUUUUUUGUAGUUUGUGGAGAGAGUUAAGUAGUAGGGUAGCCUUUCUAUGGUGGCGAUCGCAUGCUGUGCAGCCGAGUGUAGUUAAUUUGGUGGUUCAUGUUACAAGAAAAAUCAUUGCUCUGUUUGUAGGUUUCAGGUUCCUUUUGUUGUGAGGUGCUCCAUGGCCCUUUGCUUGGAUGCUCUGUGGUGAGGCAACAGAGAUAAUUAGCAGUCUUGUAUACUAACCAAGAGAACAUCCAUUUCAUGAUUUUGGGUAUUGGGUUCUCUUUGCUAAACCAGCUGCAGCUAGAUGAGAGAAGUAGUAAGUAAUAUCAGGUGCAUAAUUUCUAUCAGUCUGUGUAUUCUAAUGACUACCGAUAUCCCCUUUCCUGUAGUGUGGCACUGAAUCAAUAGUCAUUUUUGCACAAUCAUGUGUCAUGUUCCUUUAUGAAUCAUAUAAUAUCAAGAGACAACUUAUGGAACUGUUCAGAUUUUUAUGGCAGCCCUAACUUCGCUAGGUAAUAACUUUAUUUGGUCUUUAUCCAACUGGUUUUUAUCAUAUCAAAUUACUGCAGAGCGUACUGAUUUUUUUGUCACCGAGCAACGGUGCCUUUCAGUUCAACUAGCAGUUUAAACCUCCGAAGGUUUAAGGUGAACAAUGAGAUAUUUUUGGGUUUGUUUGAACUGUUGUGUCUGUCCACUUGAGUGCCUCCAUAUGUGGUUCUCCUGUUGCAUUAGUUAUAUUAUUAUUUUUGAUCAUCUUGCCCAAAACUAAAGUUUCACUACAUGAAAAAUGACUACUUUAUUUUAUACCAUGUUAUCCUCUUUCUCUUCCCCACAGGACAGCGUCUCCCCGUGUUCUCGAUCCGGCGCCGCCACAUAUCAUGAUUCUGGAUUGGGCGCAGGUCAUCGCCAUAAGAGAGCCUGGCUGGUGUGGUCUUCAUGCUUGGUGUGGAGAAGCACGGGGGAUGAGUAGGACGGGCAUGGGGAAGGAGCAGCUAGGCCGGAGCUCCGGCGUUGUUCGCGUCAUGGUCGAAUGGAGCCGGCCAUCACUAUGGGCUGCUGCUCGCCGGUCGUCGUUUAUCCAAUCUCAGUUGCUCAUCUUUGGCUUCACCAUCUUCCUCCCCUGAUCAUGCAUCUAUUUUAGAUCAUAUAAUUAUGCUAUAUCAUAUAUGUUGUUUAGUUCAGACUUGUGCAUGUGCAUGCAUUGGCAUUGAUUUAGACAGAGAUAUUGCAUGAUUUGUACAUAGAAGGAGUACGGAUGAUCUAGGAAUAAAUGUUUGAAUAAAGUUAGUAGUGAGAUUUAGAUAGAGGUUACCUGCACUGUUCUGUUUUAUGUAGAUUCUAAGCUGCAAAAUCAUACAUUGUCCUGUUAGUAAUUUGUUUGAGUUGUGAGUUUACGCAUUUUCCCUUGGAAUGUUUGUAUGUGUGAUCACUGGCUUUUAGGUUCCCAGUGGUAUAUCAUGAGAAGUUUUUUACUCUGCACCGGGUGAUCAACUACAUAUUUAGACGAAUACACUAUUCAGGACCAGGAACAUUAAGAUUUCUAAUGUUGUUUUCCUCUUUCAAGAUUGCAGUUUUCAUAAGCCUUAGAUAGCUAAGGUACACAUAGUUUUCAUUUAAC
Molecule: long non-coding RNA, 2410 nt
Filed under: Triticum aestivum (bread wheat)
Lineage: Eukaryota; Viridiplantae; Streptophyta; Magnoliopsida; Poales; Poaceae
Description: long non-coding RNA (TAES_LNC028215)
Source: RNAcentral